Molecule: ribosomal RNA, 497 nt
Filed under: uncultured bacterium
Lineage: Bacteria
Description: partial 16S ribosomal RNA
Rfam family: Bacterial small subunit ribosomal RNA
Source: RNAcentral
GACGAACGCUGGCGGCGUGCCUAAUACAUGCAAGUAGAACGCUGAAGAGAGGAGCUUGCUCUUCUUGGAUGAGUUGCGAACGGGUGAGUAACGCGUAGGUAACCUGCCUUGUAGCGGGGGAUAACUAUUGGAAACGAUAGCUAAUACCGCAUAACAAUGGAUGACACAUGUCAUUUAUUUGAAAGGGGCAAUUGCUCCACUACAAGAUGGACCUGCGUUGUAUUAGCUAGUAGGUGAGGUAAUGGCUCACCUAGGCGACGAUACAUAGCCGACCUGAGAGGGUGAUCGGCCACACUGGGACUGAGACACGGCCCAGACUCCUACGGGAGGCAGCAGUAGGGAAUCUUCGGCAAUGGGGGCAACCCUGACCGAGCAACGCCGCGUGAGUGAAGAAGGUUGUCGGAUCGUAAAGCUCUGUUGUAAGUCAAGAACGGGUGUGAGCGUGGAAAGUUCACACUGUGACGGUAGCUUACCAGAAAGGGACGGCUAACUACGUG